RNAcentral lists this transfer RNA (538 nucleotides) under uncultured Prochlorococcus sp. RNAcentral's name for it is "partial 16S-23S ribosomal RNA intergenic spacer". The stretch from base 211 to 283 matches the Rfam family "tRNA". The record is from RNAcentral. Lineage: Bacteria; Bacillati; Cyanobacteriota; Cyanophyceae; Synechococcales; Prochlorococcaceae.
CAGGGAGACAACAAAAUGUUUAAUAUUAUUAUUUUGUCACCUUAGGUCGAUCGGUAUCUCACGUUCUUAAUUUAUUAAGAAUUUCAUUUCCUAAGUUUUUCUAGGUCACACCCAUUAUUUUCCUGGGCCAUUAGCUCAGGUGGUUAGAGCGCACCCCUGAUAAGGGUGAGGUCCCUGGUUCAAGUCCAGGAUGGCCCAUAUCUCUAUGUUGGGGGUAUAGCUCAGUUGGUAGAGCGCCUGCUUUGCAAGCAGGAUGUCAGCGGUUCGAGUCCGCUUACCUCCACUGAUUACCACCUCUCCCAUAAUCUGUAGAAGGGAAAAUUUUGAGUAGUGAUCAUGCUUCUGAACGAAUCUAGCUUCCUAAUGAAACUAUUAAGAUGCUGGACUCAUUGAAUUAAUUUCAUUGUUUUCAGAGAACCUUGACAACUGCAUAGAUUAUUUUAAAGACAAUAAGCAUCUUUAAUGAUGCAGAUUUAUUAUUUGUGCAAAUGCAUUAAUAACAAUUCUAUUAAGCUGAUGCUUCAAUUUUGAAGUUAUU